This 497-nucleotide ribosomal RNA is filed under the name uncultured bacterium. RNAcentral describes it as "partial 16S ribosomal RNA". It matches the Rfam family "Bacterial small subunit ribosomal RNA", at positions 28 to 507 of the family's 1533-position model. The record is from RNAcentral.
GAUGAACGCUGGCGGCGUGCCUAAUACAUGCAAGUCGAGCGAACAGACGAGGAGCUUGCUCCUUUGACGUUAGCGGCGGACGGGUGAGUAACACGUAGGUAACCUACCUAUAAGACUGGGAUAACUUCGGGAAACCGGAGCUAAUACCGGAUAAUAUUUCGAACCGCAUGGUUCGAUAGUGAAAGAUGGCUUUGCUAUCACUUAUAGAUGGACCUGCGCCGUAUUAGCUAGUUGGUAAGGUAACGGCUUACCAAGGCAACGAUACGUAGCCGACCUGAGAGGGUGAUCGGCCACACUGGAACUGAGACACGGUCCAGACUCCUACGGGAGGCAGCAGUAGGGAAUCUUCCGCAAUGGGCGAAAGACUGACGGAGCAACGCCGUGUGAGUGAUGAAGGUCUUCGGAUCGUAAAACUCUGUUAUUAGGGAAGAACAAACGUGUAAGUAACUGUGCACGUCUUGACGGUACCUAAUCAGAAAGCCACGGCUAACUACGUG